Molecule: ribosomal RNA, 274 nt
Filed under: uncultured bacterium
Lineage: Bacteria
Description: partial 16S ribosomal RNA
Rfam family: Bacterial small subunit ribosomal RNA
Source: RNAcentral
AUACAGAGGGUGCGAGCGUUAAUCGGAAUUACUGGGCGUAAAGCGCGCGUAGGCGGCUUAUUAAGUCAGAUGUGAAAUCCCCGGGCUCAACCUGGGAACUGCAUCUGAUACUGGUAAGCUAGAGUUUUGGAGAGGGAAGUAGAAUUUCAGGUGUAGCGGUGAAAUGCAUAGAGAUCUGAAGGAAUACUAGUGGCGAAGGCGACUUCCUGGCCAAAAACUGACGCUGAGGUGCGAAAGCGUGGGUAGCAAACGGGAUUAGAAACCCCAGUAGUCC